RNAcentral lists this ribosomal RNA (253 nucleotides) under uncultured bacterium. RNAcentral describes it as "partial 16S ribosomal RNA". It matches the Rfam family "Bacterial small subunit ribosomal RNA", at positions 524 to 776 of the family's 1533-position model. The record is from RNAcentral.
UACGUAGGUGGCAAGCGUUGUCCGGAUUUACUGGGCGUAAAGAGCGCGCAGGCGGUCGAUUAAGUCGAAUGUGAAAGCCCCCGGCUCAACUGGGGAGGGUCAUUCGAUACUGAUCGACUUGAAGGCAGGAGAGAGAAGUGGAAUUCCCGGUGUAGUGGUGAAAUGCGUAGAUAUCGGGAGGAACACCAGUGGCGAAGGCGGGUCUCUGGGCCGAUACUGACGCUGAGGAGCGAAAGCGUGGGGAGCGAACAGG